CACGUAGGGAGCAAGCGUUGUCCGGAUUUAUUGGGCGUAAAGAGCUCGUAGGCGGUUCGAUAAGUCAGGUGUGAAAACUCUGGGCUCAACUCAGAGACGCCACCCGAUACUGUCGUGACUAGAGUCCAGUAGGGGAGCGUGGAAUUCCUGGUGUAGCGGUGAAAUGCGCAGAUAUCAGGAGGAACACCAGCGGCGAAGGCGGCGCUCUGGGCUGGAACUGACGCUGAGGAGCGAAAGCGUGGGGAGCGAACAGG
Molecule: ribosomal RNA, 254 nt
Filed under: uncultured bacterium
Lineage: Bacteria
Description: partial 16S ribosomal RNA
Rfam family: Bacterial small subunit ribosomal RNA
Source: RNAcentral